AACGAACGCUGGCGGCAUGCCUAACACAUGCAAGUCGAACGAGACCUUCGGGUCUAGUGGCGCACGGGUGCGUAACGCGUGGGAACCUGCCCUUAUGUUCGGAAUAACUCCCCGAAAGGGGUGCUAAUACCGGAUAAUGUCUUCGGACCAAAGAUUUAUCGCCUUUGGAUGGGCCCGCGUUGGAUUAGCUAGUUGGUAGGGUAAAAGCCUACCAAGGCGACGAUCCAUAGCUGGUCUGAGAGGAUGAUCAGCCACACUGGGACUGAGACACGGCCCAGACUCCUACGGGAGGCAGCAGUGGGGAAUAUUGGACAAUGGGCGAAAGCCUGAUCCAGCAAUGCCGCGUGAGUGAUGAAGGCCUUAGGGUUGUAAAGCUCUUUUAACCGGGAUGAUAAUGACAGUACCGGGAGAAUAAGCGCCGGCUAACUCCGUG
RNAcentral lists this ribosomal RNA (433 nucleotides) under uncultured bacterium. RNAcentral describes it as "partial 16S ribosomal RNA". It matches the Rfam family "Bacterial small subunit ribosomal RNA", at positions 29 to 507 of the family's 1533-position model. The record is from RNAcentral.